Molecule: ribosomal RNA, 561 nt
Filed under: uncultured bacterium
Lineage: Bacteria
Description: partial 16S ribosomal RNA
Rfam family: Bacterial small subunit ribosomal RNA
Source: RNAcentral
UAGGGAAUCUUGCGCAAUGGGCGAAAGCCUGACGCAGCCAUGCCGCGUGAAUGAUGAAGGUCUUAGGAUUGUAAAAUUCUUUCACCGGGGAAGAUAAUGACGGUACCCGGAGAAGAAGCCCCGGCUAACUUCGUGCCAGCAGCCGCGGUAAUACGAAGGGGGCUAGCGUUGCUCGGAAUUACUGGGCGUAAAGGGCGCGUAGGCGGAUGUUUAAGUCGGGGGUGAAAGCCCGGGGCUCAACCUCGGAAUUGCCUUCGAUACUGGACAUCUUGAGUACGGGAGAGGUGAGUGGAACUCCGAGUGUAGAGGUGAAAUUCGUAGAUAUUCGGAAGAACACCAGUGGCGAAGGCGACUCACUGGCCCGUUACUGACGCUGAGGCGCGAAAGCGUGGGGAGCAAACAGGAUUAGAUACCCUGGUAGUCCACGCCGUAAACGAUGAGUGCUAGUUGUCGGCAUGCAUGCAUGUCGGUGACGCUGCUAACGCAUUAAGCACUCCGCCUGGGGAGUACGGUCGCAAGAUUAAAACUUAAAUGAAUUGACGGGGGUCAUAGCUGUUUCCU